RNAcentral lists this ribosomal RNA (498 nucleotides) under uncultured bacterium. Its description in RNAcentral is "partial 16S ribosomal RNA". It matches the Rfam family "Bacterial small subunit ribosomal RNA", at positions 28 to 507 of the family's 1533-position model. The record is from RNAcentral.
GAUGAACGCUGGCGGCGUGCCUAAUACAUGCAAGUCGAGCGAACAGACGAGGAGCUUGCUCCUCUGACGUUAGCGGCGGACGGGUGAGUAACACGUGGAUAACCUACCUAUAAGACUGGGAUAACUUCGGGAAACCGGAGCUAAUACCGGAUAAUAUAUUGAACCGCAUGGUUCAAUAGUGAAAGACGGUUUUGCUGUCACUUAUAGAUGGAUCCGCGCCGCAUUAGCUAGUUGGUAAGGUAACGGCUUACCAAGGCAACGAUGCGUAGCCGACCUGAGAGGGUGAGGGGCGAGACUGGGAGUGAGACACGGGCCAUAGUCCUACGGGAGGGAGCAGUAGGUAAUCUUCGGAAAUGGGGGGAAGUCUGAAAGAGCAACAGCGAGUGAGUGAAGAAGAUUUUUGGAUCGUAAAGCCCUGUUGUAAGGGAAGAAAAAGAGGGGGAGGGGAAAGUUCACGGUGGGACGGUAUCUUACCAGAAAGGGAAGGCUAACUACGUG